UACGUAGGGUGCAAGCGUUGUCCGGAAUUAUUGGGCGUAAAGCGCACGUAGGCGGAUCUUUAAGUCAGAGGUGAAAUCCCAAGGCUCAACCUUGGGACUGCCUUUGAUACUGGAGAUCUUGAGUCCGGGAGAGGUGAGUGGAACUGCGAGUGUAGAGGUGAAAUUCGUAGAUAUUCGCAAGAACACCAGUGGCGAAGGCGGCUCACUGGCCCGGUACUGACGCUGAGGUGCGAAAGCGUGGGGAGCAAACAGG
This 253-nucleotide ribosomal RNA is filed under the name uncultured bacterium. RNAcentral describes it as "partial 16S ribosomal RNA". It matches the Rfam family "Bacterial small subunit ribosomal RNA", at positions 524 to 776 of the family's 1533-position model. The record is from RNAcentral.